GGAUUAGAUACCCUGGUAGUCCACGCCGUAAACGAUGAGAACUUGCUGUUGGACCUUUUGAGGUUUAGUAGCGGAGCUAACGCGUUAAGUUCUCCGCCUGGGGAGUACGGCCGCAAGGUUAAAACUCAAAGAAAUUGACGGGGGCCCGCACAAGCGGUGGAGCAUGUGGUUUAAUUCGAUGCAACGCGAAGAACCUUACCUACCCUUGAAUCCUCGGAACCACUCAGAGAUGAGUGGGUGCCUUCGGGAGCCGAGUGACAGGUGCUGCAUGGCUGUCGUCAGCUCGUGCCG
Molecule: ribosomal RNA, 291 nt
Filed under: uncultured bacterium
Lineage: Bacteria
Description: partial 16S ribosomal RNA
Rfam family: Bacterial small subunit ribosomal RNA
Source: RNAcentral